RNAcentral lists this long non-coding RNA (4247 nucleotides) under Callithrix jacchus (white-tufted-ear marmoset). Its description in RNAcentral is "lncRNA (ENSCJAG00000085145.1)". Lineage: Eukaryota; Metazoa; Chordata; Mammalia; Primates; Cebidae. The record is from RNAcentral.
AUACUUUCUGCCUCAUUUCUUCUCUGGUUAUUUUGGAAAGGAUCAAGCACUGAUUUUUCAAGAAAAGAGAAAUGCAGGAAGCUCAGGGGGCAGUAGCACACUUUGCACACGAUAAAGCAAAGACGAUGGAUUGACAAGCCCUUCCGAUCAUGGUAGUUGAUUUAUUUGCUCAGGUAUCAUGCUGUCUGUACAGUUCCAUACAACAAGGAGGUGAAAUCAGAGAUACCAGCUCCUCUUGUAAAACAGCCUUCCAGUCAUUGACACCCAUUUUCUCUUCAUUAAUUGCACCAAUAAUGCUUUGAAUUUCUUGGGGGUGCAGUAGAAAGAAUCGGAACCUGUGCUGUAUUAAUAAGGAGAUGAUGUUGAACACACCACAAAAAUUUGUUCAGUAUGUAUAGAAGCAUAUUCAGUGGUCUUUUCAAGAGUAAACCAGAAAUACUUUUGGGCCCAACACUUGCAGUUGCCUUCCUGAUGUAAAAAACUAACGUGCUAGAUAAUCCAGUGUCGGGAAGACAAAGAUGUUUUGCUUCUCUGAAGAAGCUUAUAAUAAUAUACAGUGUAUGUAUAUGUAGGGAACAAUUGGUCAAAAGUGGCUUUUUGUUUCCCCAAGGGGAAAGACUGGCUUUGUAAUUAUAAUUUUUUCCUUAUUUAUUUUACCUAAAACUGGUAGAGUCUAAGUAUUGUAUGAAGUGCCCAUGAUUCUGUCAGUAAAUUUGAGCAUAUUUUAUUAGUUAAUGUCAGUUUAAGUAGUCCUUGUGUUUGUUUCUAUUUUUAAGGUGAAUUUUAAAUUCUAUCUGAAAUCAGUAAGAUACCUUGAGAAGAACUACAAUGAGAGGAGGGAAGCAGAGGUGUCUUCAGUUCUCUCCUCACGGGACCUGGAAUGAGGCAGAGGAAGUGGAGCAGAACCUCGAGGACAGCCGCAAGCACCUGCCGGUUCCCAGAAGCCGAGCAACAGAGACGCAGCAUGCACAGGUGUGGCCUCUCCGCAUGCUCACCUGCCACCCCAGGGGAGUUGGUGGCUGGUGCCUCCCUUCCUGGAUUUUUCCCUUGCAUGUUGAUUUUCCGUGAGCUCUGGGUGCAAGAAUGCUCACAGGUGCUGUAUUAGAACAAUGCGCUUCCUCUCAGCUCACACAGAGGGCCAGAUAUUUGUCAGUUUUGUUAUUCUUUCGUUCCUUUAUGUAUUAAUCAUUCGACAAGUAUUUAUUGCGCACUGUUCUGUACAAGCAUUAGGCUGUUCCAGCUCUUCUUUUUGAGUCUCCUGGCCACUGUUUAUGGACACUAGACAACGUUGUCUUUGAAAGGCCAGAGAUGCACUCCGAGGUGGCCUAUGGUGGUCAGGAAGGCUUUGGCCAGUUAGCGGGGGUGAGUGGGGGGACAACAGAGUCUCCCCACUUCCUCAGACUCUUCUCUUCGCAAGUUGGAAACCUCUGAUGUGAACGUUUCUUGCCACACAGUAACUCUGCUCCUGAGAACCAAGAAGGCUGGUGACAGGAAAAUGCCCCCCUGAAGCUGGCUAGGGAUUUCACUUAGGGGUGACACAAAGUGAGGAGUGUGCUGCCAAAUGUCCCCGAUUCUUUCUCCCCAAACUAACAAGAUCUUAAUUAAGCUUCACUCCGGCAGGCAAUUCAGGGAUAAACCAACUGCCGGUUGCCAGGGGCUUCCAGAGGCUGAGGCUUUACCAGCCCCCAUCCAGACAUGGGAAGACUAGGAUUGGGAAGUGGAAUUUUAUUGCCAAAGUCGGAUGCUUUUGAGAGUUAAAGAGGUGCUAUUAAAACAUAUGCAGGAAUAACAUCUGUAAACCAGAAUUGUCUUAGGCACCGGAUGAAGGAUCACCCUUUCUAGAAUGGUGUUUUCAGAAGCGACCUGCAAUGAGAAAAUGUAGUCUGCUGUUUGGAAUGAAAUCCAGAACUCCUGCUGACCGACAGAAAUCCUCCACACAAAUCUGCCGCCUCCUUCCAUUUCCCCUAGAGCACAGAGAAGGAGCAUAGCCCCAAAUGCUGCUGGGUUGGGGCCACUUUAUAAAGCCACUCUGGACCUCCAGGACAUAGAAAAGAUGCAUGCAGUGCUCCCCUGGGGAAUCAGCAACCAGCCUGGAAUCUCAGGGGCUCUUUGAAGAUGAGCGGGCAGGAGGGAGGAAAUGAUUGUAGCUCGGUGGGGUCAGAACACAGGCCUUUGCUCCACACUGAUAUUUUCUUCAAAGGUCAAGAAUGUGUUUGGGCUUUGUAGAUGUUUUACCGAAAUAUGAUUUAGGGGAAGUUCCAAGCUCAGAGAUUGAGUUUCUAAGUUUGCUGUCUCCUGUUUCCAUGCUACAGUGCAUUCAUUGACAGUAUUUUUAGAAGAGGAUCUUUGAAAAUGGGAAGGCAGGUAUGACAGCAGAGUGAUUCAUUAGCUGUGCCUCUGCACAGGAUGUCUUGGGGGCUGGGCAUGAGGUCCCAAAUGUGUGUGGAUCACAGAGGGGCACGGGCUGGAGCCAUGAAGCAGGCAGGAACCCAGAACAUUACGACUGCACUGUGAGCCCUUAGACCAGAGAGGUGAGCGAGGAACCUGGAAUUUGGAUGUACUUGCAGAGCUGGGACGGCACUGACACAGCGUCCCGGGUCUCAGCUUCCAUCUCUGCGCAUGGAUCAGAAUGAGCACCAGAGCAGACGCAGGAUCAUGACUCACCUUUCGCCCAUCCCCCCUUGCCUUGCCGUCAAGACUUACUGCCGAGAUACCACGUGUGCAGCUCUAUGUGUGCUUGGGCACAUUAACAGAGAGAUCUGAGAUCUGGUCAGCUUUCUACUUAACCAGCAAAUGUCCCACCUUCUGAGACUUCCCAGAUGCAAAACUCCAGCAUUCUCCUUCUAGUGAAAAGGAGCUGUCCUGCAGGGACAGCCAGGCACUGGCUGACCUCUGGGCGGAGGCGAUGACAACCCACAAAGAUUUUCCAUGCCUUUUUUGGUUCUGAAAGAAAGAAAAAUAAAACAAAUAAACAAAAAAACCCAGGAAGAUUCAAAGAAUGGUUUGUACUUCUUUUUUUUUUUUUUUUUUUUGAGAUGGAUUUUCAGUCUGUCACCAGGCUUGAGUGCAAUGGCGUGAUCUCGGCUCACUGCAACCUCUGCCUCCCAGGUUCAAGCAAUUCCCCUGCCUCAACCUCCUGAGUAGUUGGGACUACAGGUCCAGGCCACCAUGCCCAGCUAAUUUUUGUAUUUUUAGUAGAGACGGGGUUUCACCAUGUUGGCCAGGAUGGUCUCGAUCUCCUGACCUCGUGAUCUGCCCACCUCAGCCUCCCAAAAGCCACCGUGACCAGCCAUAAUCGAUUCUUAACGAGGAAAGAUAAUUAAAGGAACAAUAGUGCUAAUGAUAAUAAUUACUAGAUAAAGUAGCCAGCAUUCUUGAAUGCAGCAUUUCAAUUAAUCCUCACAAGGAGCCUCCGAGGUUGGUAUCAUUAUCUCCGUAUUUGAGAUGGGGAAAGAGAGGCUGAGUUGCUGGCCUGACGUCCCUCUGCUGGGAAGUGGCGCCCAUGUGGGAGCUGGCCUGGUUCUUGUGGGUUGCAGGACAAUGACAAUUGGCCAGACAGGAAUGUCCUUGGGCUCCCAUCACCAAAUCCCACCACUUCCCCUGUGCUUCUCUCUAUCCUUUCCUCUUUCUAAACCGUGAGGAAGGCAGAGGUGGCCCCGCUUGCGUGUCCAAGGCUUGCGCAUCCUGAGGGGCCCUUCUCUCUCUCUCUGCUCCAGCUUUUCUUAUUCCCCACUGGGUCCUCCCAUCAGCACUUAUGUCUCGUUUCCCAUGAAAAAGAAACAGAUCAAAGCGCUCGUCCUGGAGGGCUUCCUCCCUCUUCCCUUUGCUUCCUUUCUCUGCCACUAAAUUUCUAGCAAGAACUUGGAUCCACUUCACAACCCGCUGCUAUCUGCAUUCUGCCCCCAUCAGCACGCCAGGGUCACUGAUCAGCUCCUAACUGAACCUGGCGUCCGCCUCUAUCCCUGUCCCGCUCGCCUUCUCCGGGAUUCCUGAGCUGCCACUCCUUCCAGGCUUCUGCCUUUCCUCAUCACACCGCCUCCCGAUUCUCCGUCUCCUCCCCGAGCCGCUCCUUCCCAGUUUGCUUUACAGAUGCUCCUCUUCCUGCCCACUCAUGAGGCUGAAUUUUAGGUGUCAGCUUGACUGGGGCGUGGGGUGCCCACAUAUCCUGGCUUUGUCUAUGAGGAUGCUUUUGGACCAGGACCGUUUGAAUGGGUGGGCGGAGCAAGGCAGACGGCCAUCCCCGGUGU